RNAcentral lists this ribosomal RNA (501 nucleotides) under uncultured bacterium. Its description in RNAcentral is "bacterial SSU rRNA". It matches the Rfam family "Bacterial small subunit ribosomal RNA", at positions 29 to 524 of the family's 1533-position model. The record is from RNAcentral.
AACAAACGCUGGCGGCGUGCCUAAUACAUGCAAGUCGAACGGGGAAGUAGCAAUACGAGUACUAGUGGCGCACGGGUGAGUAACACGUAGGUAAUCUCCCUUGAAGCGUGGGAUAACUAGUCGAAAGAUUAGCUAAUACCACAUAAGACCACAGGAUCUGCGGAUCUAGGGGUCAAAGGUUUUUCGCUUAAGAUGAGCCUGCGCGAGAUUAGCUAGUUGGUGAGGUAAUGGCUCACCAAGGCUACGAUCUCUAACUGGUCUGAGAGGAUGAUCAGUCACACUGGAACUGAGACACGGUCCAGACUCCUACGGGAGGCAGCAGUGGGGAAUAUUGGACAAUGGGCGAAAGACCUGAUCCAGCAAUGCCGCGUGAGUGAUGAAGGCCUUAGGGUUGUAAACCGCUUUUAGUCGGGAAGAAAAGGCAAGGGUUAACGACCUCUUGUUCUUGACGGUACCGGCGGAAUAAGCACCGGCUAACUACGUGCCAGCAGCCGCGGUAAA